AUAGGGAUGAAACUAGAAUCAUCAUUAUCGUUAUCGUUGUCAUUAGCUUUAGGAUUAGCCAGCAGUAUCUCACCUGUUGGAAGAUUACCAAAACUACACCACAUAUUUCUAUUGCAUCUCACGAGUUCUUCAGGUAAGUUAAUGGAGUGUUUGUUCCAUCGAUGCCGUUUAUUCAAUCGCCAUAGAUUCAAUAUAUUUGAACCA
This 204-nucleotide unclassified non-coding RNA is filed under the name Hevea brasiliensis (rubber tree). Lineage: Eukaryota; Viridiplantae; Streptophyta; Magnoliopsida; Malpighiales; Euphorbiaceae. The record is from RNAcentral.